GAUCAGAUAUGAGAGAAAGCCAUGACUUACACACACAUUGAAAUCUUAGUUUUAAAUGUGUAUAAGUCAUGGUUUUCUCUCAUAUCUAAUC
Non-coding RNA from Glycine soja, 91 nucleotides. Lineage: Eukaryota; Viridiplantae; Streptophyta; Magnoliopsida; Fabales; Fabaceae. The record is from Rfam.